This 792-nucleotide ribosomal RNA is filed under the name uncultured bacterium. RNAcentral's name for it is "bacterial SSU rRNA". It matches the Rfam family "Bacterial small subunit ribosomal RNA", at positions 8 to 794 of the family's 1533-position model. The record is from RNAcentral.
AGAGUUUGAUCCUGGCUCAGGAUGAACGCUAGCGGCAGGCUUAACACAUGCAAGUCGAGGGGCAGCGCGAUGUAGCAAUACAUUGGCGGCGACCGGCGCACGGGUGCGUAACACGUAUGGAAUCUGCCCUGUACUGGAAGAUAACCCGGCGAAAGUCGGACUAAUAUCCCAUAAUAGCCGAGGUGGCAUCACCUUGGUUUGAAAGCUCCGGCGGUACAGGAUGACCAUGCGCACGAUUAGCUAGUUGGUGAGGUAACGGCUCACCAAGGCUACGAUCGUUAGGGGGCCUGAGAGGGUUAUCCCCCACACUGGUACUGAGACACGGACCAGACUCCUACGGGAGGCAGCAGUGAGGAAUAUUGCGCAAUGGAGGCAACUCUGACGCAGCCAUGCCGCGUGCAGGAAGAAGGCGCUACGCGUUGUAAACUGCUUUUAUCCGGGAAGAAACCCCAGGACGUGUCCUGGGUUGACGGUACCGGAGGAAUAAGCACCGGCUAACUUCGUGCCAGCAGCCGCGGUAAUACGAAGGGUGCAAGCGUUAUCCGGAUUCAUUGGGUUUAAAGGGUGCGUAGGUGGGGCGAUAAGUCAGCGGUGAAAUCCUGCAGCUCAACUGCAGAAUUGCCGUUGAUACUGUCGCUCUUGAGUACGCUUGACGUGGGCGGAAUGUGCCGUGUAGCGGUGAAAUGCUUAGAUAUGGCACAGAACACCGAUAGUGAAGACAGCUCACGAAGGCGAAACUGACACUGAGGCACGAAAGCGUGGGGAUCGAACAGGAUUAGAUACCCCGGUAGU